CAGACCAUACACGCAGCAUGACCCACUGCUUGCAAAGGCAGUGAUGGCCAGAUGAAGACUGCCAACAUCUACUGGAGUUCCAUUGAGGGUCCUCAUCAUCAGUGGAUGGCACAACAAGUUCCACUCUACACAAUGCGCUAUUGAAGUUGAGAAGCCAUGAAGAUGCUUUUGGCAAAUAGACAUAGCAUCAUCUUCCAGAAGCUGAAAAGGAUGGUGCAGGAAUAUUGGCUGCCAGACCCAGGACAUGCUGGAGAGACUAUGUCUCUCGGCUGGCCUGGGAACGUCUCGGACUCCCCUCGGAAGAGCUGGAGGAAGUGUCUGGGGUGAGGGAAGUCUGGGCAUCUCUGCGACCCAGUAACGGAUAAGCGGUAGAAAAUGGAUGGAUGGAUGUUUGUUUCAUUAUAAAAUGUGAUUAAUUUUCUGUUUUAUCGCAUGUCGCUCUCACCCAAGACAACCGGACACCACACUGCAGAAGUCUGGCUUAUGUGAUUUUGUCCUACCAAAGGAAGGCAAUGUAGAAUCUUAUUUUUUGACAGCGUGUGCAAACCGGCAAAGUUGCCUCAACUUUAUAAUUAAAAGCAAGUUAAUGAAUUUUGCAGGUAACAUAUUUUCACAGAGCACAAUACCUCCAGAGUUAAUUAUGAUGUUCCUUUUCAGAAGUAAAUCAAAGACAAACACAGGACCCUUAAAUUAAUGUAAAUGAGCCCCAACUGUUUGUCUGAGCCAAAACGAAGAACAGAGAUUAGAAGAUUAUUUUUUUCCUAGACAGUGUAAUAACACUGAAACUGAAAAGGCUUCACCCAUGUGUUCAGCUGGACCACGGCAUGGUUUCUUCUAUUCAUGCACAUUCUGAUUUAAAUCUCUUUUUUUUCUUCUAAUGAAAUACUUUCUUGGUUUAAGUCGUUUGCAAUGUCAGCUCAGAAAAAAAUGGUUUGAGGAGGAUAGUGUGUGAUUGUCUUUCUUACAAUGGAGAGCAAAUUAUGAGAAAACCCUUAAGGCCUGUGUUACAGAACAAAUAGAACUCCAUGGUUAUGUAAUGAUUGUUAUCUAAUGAUUCUCUUGUCUGUUUUAGCACAUCUCCAUUUACUGUUCGGAGAUUAAAUGUAAUUUGCCAAUUUUGACUUUAACAACAGAGCAAAGCACCUCUACCUUGUUAGCCUCUGUGUUUCCUGAAACACAGUUUAGUGUCUGCUGAAUAGUUUCACCCUCAUGGGAUACAUUCAGAUUCAUGCUGCUGAUGGAGAAGUCUUCGGUCCCAUAUUUGCCAAACUUCUGAAACUGUAUUCUGAAUAAAAGACACGAGUGUUCAUCAGUUUCAUGUUUUGAAACUGAUCUGAGAUGGUGUCACCUUGUUAUUUUGUGUGGCUUGACACAUUAAGGGUCAUACUGUGCACUGCAGAUGCACUACUGGUCAGACCGCUAUUGCCGCCAUCCUAUUCACCGUGUCCUAGAUCUCUCAUAUAUACUAUAUUCUCUCAGGUAUAUUAUGCUUGAGGCUACUUCCAUGUGGCACAGAUUUAAUUAUCUGCCAUAUUUAGACAUAUUUUGAAUGGGUUUCAGGGACAAAAGGAAUAGAUGGAUUCCCAGUUUUCCAAUGUGAAGCAUAGCUGCAGUGAAAAAAAAGGAUUAGUAUGUCUAUUACUCUAUGGCUUUUGACAGCCCUAAACAGGUCUCUACUUUCAGUAAUUAAAUUAGACUGUCAUAGGCUGCCAACUUUUUGACUAUUGGACAUAAAUACAGAGCACCCUAAAAUCGUAAAAAGAGCUAGCACCUUCACUGACAAAAUUAAGAGACCAUUUUCAAUGUGCAUCAUCCAACUACGUUUACACUUAGACGAAUAUAUGAGGUGCCGAACAUUUCAAAACUUCUGCAAAGCUUCACAGUAAAUAGGGAAAUAAUUUAGCUCGUCGUAUCUGCUCACAGACCAGGCCCAGCAGCAGGUAUUUAUAUCUAAUUCAGGUGGUUUAUGAACUGCUUGAAUCUCAGUUGUGAUGGCUGCACUUCCACCAUAAGCUUCUUACAUGUUGCCAUGUGCACCACCGAGGAUUUAACGGCCACACCACAGAGGAAGUGGCCAGCAGGAACCAUCAUCAUUGUUAAUAGGAACCGGGGACAAUUUAAGUGAACCUGGCGAGGAUCAUGCAGGGGAAGAGAUAAGACACAAUAUCCUAAAAAUUAUGUCACACAAACAUACACACAAAGUCCAAAAGCCUUUGGAAAAUGUGAUUUUCACACCUUCUACAUCCAAGUUGUUUACUUCUAAGGCUCUGAAAUUGAUCUGGAAAACAGAGUAUUACUUAAUUAAACUCUGCUGCAGGUGUUUCACAGAAAACUUUAAUAAUUCUUUUUUUUUUUCAUGAUGGCCCUGUAACACUUUGAUGAUUUAGCCAGCGUAUGGCAACGUAUGAAAAAUGUGUCAAAUACCCUGGUGUGUCGAAUAAGUUAUGGGUAGGUUAUAGAAGUUAAGAGCAAACACUACUUGUAAGUUACUCAUAAAUCAAUAUACAUAGAAAUAAUGUCUAGCAUACCUAAAACACAUUUCUAACUUAUGAGUAACAUGCUUUUAACCCAUGUGUAACUCAUAUUGAACUUAUCUCCAAACAUAUGUAGACAUAUUUGAUGUAUUUGGUACCCAUGUAAAAAUACGGUUCACAGAAGAAACCCGUCAGCAACACCUCAAGACUCUAGAAUGAGAAAUGGAGGAUCCUGCAAGGCUGAGACAAUAGCUGUGUCCCAAUUCAGGGGCUGCGUCCUUCUGAGGACGCGGUCUUCGUAGGCCACGCCUUCAAAGGCCAUACCGAAGGCUGGACGGACGCUAGUGAAAUGAGACGGUCUAGCCUGUGGGGGAUUUCCUGGUUGCGUCACCAGCUGUUCCC
Molecule: long non-coding RNA, 2876 nt
Organism: Cololabis saira (Pacific saury)
Lineage: Eukaryota; Metazoa; Chordata; Actinopteri; Beloniformes; Belonidae
Exons: 3
Source: RefSeq, a predicted model, not a curated record